Molecule: non-coding RNA, 48 nt
Filed under: Schistosoma margrebowiei
Lineage: Eukaryota; Metazoa; Platyhelminthes; Trematoda; Strigeidida; Schistosomatidae
Source: RNAcentral
AUCUAGCUGAUGAGUCCAAAAUAGGACGAAACGUGAAUCAAACUGGAC